GGCAGAGAUGCCUUAGUGCCUUCGGGAACCGUGAGACAGGUGCUGCAUGGCUGUCGUCAGCUCGUGUUGUGAAAUGUUGGGUUAAGUCCCGCAACGAGCGCAACCCUUAUCCUUUGUUGCCAGCGGCUCGGCCGGGAACUCAAAGGAGACUGCCGGUGAUAAACCGGAGGAAGGUGGGGAUGACGUCAAGUCAUCAUGGCCCUUACGGCCAGGGCUACACACGUGCUACAAUGGCGCAUACAAAGAGAAGCGACCUCGCGAGAGCAAGCGGACCUCAUAAAGUGCGUCGUAGUCCGGAUUGGAGUCUGCAACUCGACUCCAUGAAGUCGGAAUCGCUAGUAAUCGUAGAUCAGAAUGCUACGGUGAAUACGUUCCCGGGCCUUGUACACACCGCCCGUCACACCAUGGGAGUGGGUUGCAAAAGAAGUAGGUAGCUUAACCUUCGGGAGGGCGCUUACCACUUUGUGAUUCAUGACUGGGGUGAAGUCGUAACAAGGUAGGCGUAGCGAG
This 510-nucleotide ribosomal RNA is filed under the name uncultured bacterium. RNAcentral describes it as "bacterial SSU rRNA". It matches the Rfam family "Bacterial small subunit ribosomal RNA", at positions 999 to 1509 of the family's 1533-position model. The record is from RNAcentral.